RNAcentral lists this ribosomal RNA (585 nucleotides) under Campylobacter curvus. RNAcentral describes it as "bacterial SSU rRNA". It matches the Rfam family "Bacterial small subunit ribosomal RNA", at positions 29 to 491 of the family's 1533-position model. The record is from RNAcentral. Lineage: Bacteria; Pseudomonadati; Campylobacterota; Epsilonproteobacteria; Campylobacterales; Campylobacteraceae.
AGUGAACGCUGGCGGCGUGCCUAAUACAUGCAAGUCGAACGGACAAGUAAGAGCUUGCUCUUAUGAGUUAGUGGCGCACGGGUGAGUAAUGUAUAGCUAAUCUGCCCCAUAGUGGAGGACAACAGUUGGAAACGACUGCUAAUACUCCAUACUCCAUUUAUAUAUAAGUAUAAAUGGGAAAGUCGAACCCUAUAUAUUGUUUAUUUAUCAAAUACCUACGGCGCAAUCGAAAGUUGCGGUGUGCUUUAGGUGAGUCAAGGGAGCGUAGCUCCUUGUCGCAAAGACGGACUUUGUUCGUCUGCGAAGUAAAUAAUAUAUAGGGUUUCUCGCUAUGGGAUGAGGCUAUAUCGUAUCAGCUAGUUGGUAAGGUAAUGGCUUACCAAGGCUAUGACGCGUAACUGGUCUGAGAGGAUGAUCAGUCACACUGGAACUGAGACACGGUCCAGACUCCUACGGGAGGCAGCAGUAGGGAAUAUUGCUCAAUGGGGGAAACCCUGAAGCAGCAACGCCGCGUGGAGGAUGACACUUUUCGGAGCGUAAACUCCUUUUCUUGGGGAAGAAAUUUGACGGACCCAAGGAAUAAGC